GGCAGCAUGGUCUUAGCUUGCUAAGGCUGAUGGCGACCGGCGCACGGGUGAGUAACACGUAUCCAACCUGCCGUCUACUCUUGGCCAGCCUUCUGAAAGGAAGAUUAAUCCAGGAUGGCAUCAUGAGUUCACAUGUCCGCAUGAUUAAAGGUAUUUUCCGGUAGACGAUGGGGAUGCGUUCCAUUAGAUAGUAGGCGGGGUAACGGCCCACCUAGUCAACGAUGGAUAGGGGUUCUGAGAGGAAGGUCCCCCACAUUGGAACUGAGACACGGUCCAAACUCCUGCGGGAGGCAGCAGUGAGGAAUAUUGGUCAAUGGGCGAUGGCCUGAACCAGCCAAGUAGCGUGAAGGAUGACUGCCCUAUGGGUUGUAAACUUCUUUUAUAAAGGAAUAAAGUCGGGUAUGCAUACCCGUUUGCAUGUACUUUAUGAAUAAGGAUCGGCUAACUCCGUGCCAGCAGCCGCGGUAAUACGGAGGAUCCGAGCGUUAUCCGGAUUUAUUGGGUUUAAAGGGAGCGUAGAUGGAUGUUUAAGUCAGUUGUGAAAGUUUGCGGCUCAACCGUAAAAUUGCAGUUGAUACUGGAUGUCUUGAGUGCAGUUGAGGCAGGCGGAAUUCGUGGUGUAGCGGUGAAAUGCUUAGAUAUCACGAAGAACUCCGAUUGCGA
This 663-nucleotide ribosomal RNA is filed under the name uncultured Bacteroidales bacterium. RNAcentral describes it as "bacterial SSU rRNA". It matches the Rfam family "Bacterial small subunit ribosomal RNA", at positions 68 to 718 of the family's 1533-position model. Lineage: Bacteria; Pseudomonadati; Bacteroidota; Bacteroidia; Bacteroidales. The record is from RNAcentral.